GCAUAAGCAGGGCCAGGAAGAGGAUCAUUAACAGGAAGGUGGAACACUCACAGGAACAGAAUCUAGGACUUCCCAGGAAGGCAUUAUUAGCCUCCUUUCCUGCAGACAUUGUGGUGCAUCUUGGGAAGAGAAACUCAAAUUAGCUACCAAAAGUGAAUCUGGAGGCUUCCCAUUAACGAGCCUUUGCACAAGGGAAUCUGUCACAACAUGGCGCAGAACACUGAGUAUGUCACGCCAGGCUCUGUCCUCCAGUGCUGGUUGGUGUCACAAGGAAGUCCCAACAGUUCUUGGAAAUGACUUGGUGAGGAGAAUCUUUCUGUAGACUCUGCUGUUUUUUCCAUGCACCCUUUAUGGCCUUUGGUUGAGUGGGGCCUGAACUUAACCCACAGACCCAUUAGGGGCAGUCUUAAAGCAAAUUACAGUAACUAUGUCAACCAUGAAACAGACGAAAACACCCCCAAAUAAUGCCCCUUUCCCUUCCUCACUCAGGAAGGCUCAGUGAGCAAGCCCCGGGAACAAGAACCUACUGAGGGAAGAUGAAGGACUGACUAGGAGCCACUCUGACAGGCCUGGGAAGGGAAGGAAGGAGUUACAAUAGCCACUGAGCAAACCAACCAGCCUUCUCCGAAAAUAUCAACUCCAAGUUUAACUUGCAUUUGUCAGUCAGUUUCCUUGUCAGUUCCUUCUUCCCUUUUUUUUUAGUAGCACAUUGGAAGAGAAUGAAAGUAGGGUCUCUACUUUUCAAAGCAAAGUAAACCAAGCACCAAAAAAGAUGUUAUUUAGGAUAUGUCUAUUACAAACUUGGCUCUCCCAAACUGAUCCAGUCUUUUCAAGAUCCUGGAUUAAAAUCUCUUAGGUCCUUCUCCUGAUAUGGUAGCUGACAUUAACUUCCGAGACUUGGCUAGGGAUGUCAGAGGUCAUUUCUUUUGCAGGGAUGGGCAUGUAUCUGGGUGUUUAUUUCUCUAACUAGAGGUUCCUUUGCAGAUAUUGGACUGCUGUCUCUGAUGAAGUUCCAGUGCCCCCUGAGGGCUUCUAAGUGUAAUAAAAGCAAACGAAAAAGCGGCUUCAUAUGAAAUAAUUCACUAUGCAGGAACAAAGCUGAAUAUGGGACUCAAAGGAUCUCUGAAGUAAAGAUUAACUGCCAGUCAUCAGGAAACCUAAAGUCAUUUGAAAUAAGAGGUGCCACAAGCCAAAAGAUAGAAGUCAUAAACACAUACAAUAUUAAUAAAGCAAUUACAGAAAUAUUAUACUGAGGGGAAACUAUAUCUCAUGAUGGAAGAAAUAUAGGAAUCACCCCCGUUGAAUCCGUGAGGGAGAUGAAGCUGCAGUUCUGUGCUCCCAGACGCGCCCAGCAGAUGGCACCUUCCCCUUGGAGACCUAAGUUUUCACACUAUCUGGUGAGACCUGCAAUUUUCUUUGAAUCAUUGUAAUUCAGUAGACAAAAAAUGUCUUAAUUUUGCAGCUCUUAUCACUUCGAAUUUGGAAAGAUAAAGAACAGUGUGCUAAAAUCCAGAUAUUUUGUGCACUGAAAAUUGAGGUGAGGUUGGGAUAAAGUACAUAGGAAUGUCUGGGAAGGGAUGGCAGUCGGAUUCCUUUCUUCAAAAUGCAUCACUGCUGGUGCUGGGAAAAGUGGACAGCUACAUGUCAAUGAAGAAAUUAGAAUACUCCCGAACACCAUACACAAAAAUAAACUCAAAAUGGAUUAAAGACCUAAAUGUAAGGCUGGACACUAUAAAACUCUUCGAGGGAAACAUAGGCAGAACUCUCUUCGAC
Non-coding RNA from Kogia breviceps (pygmy sperm whale), 1773 nucleotides. The record is from RefSeq and is a predicted model, not a curated record. NCBI's taxonomy places the organism in Eukaryota, Metazoa, Chordata, Mammalia, Artiodactyla, Physeteridae.